RNAcentral lists this ribosomal RNA (838 nucleotides) under uncultured bacterium. RNAcentral's name for it is "bacterial SSU rRNA". It matches the Rfam family "Bacterial small subunit ribosomal RNA", at positions 58 to 916 of the family's 1533-position model. The record is from RNAcentral.
CAAGUCGAGCGGGCGUAGCAAUACGUCAGCGGCGUAAGGGACAGGAACACGUAGAUUACCUGCCCUCGGGUCUGGGAUAGCCACGGGAAACUGUGGGUAAUACCAGAUGAUAUCUCCGGAUCAAAGGUGUGAUUCCGCCCGAGGAUGGGUCUGCGUCCUAUUAGCUAGUUGGUGAGGUAAUGGCUCACCAAGGCGAUGAUGGGUAGCAGGUGUGAGAGCACGACCUGCGUCAUUGGGACUGAGACACUGCCCAGACACCUACGGGUGGCUGCAGUCGAGAAUUUUUGGCAAUGGGCGAAAGCCUGACCAAGCGAUGCCGCGUGCGGGAUGAAGGCCUUCGGGUUGUAAACCGCUGUCAGUGGGGAGGAAAGCUUUGUGAAGAGCAAGGCUUGACCUAUCCGCAGAGGAAGUGUGGGCUAAGUUCGUGCCAGCAGCCGCGGUAAGACGAACCACACAAACGUUAUUCGGAAUUACUGGGCUUAAAGGGUGCGUAGGCUGCGCAGUAAGUUGGGUGUGAAAUACCUCGGCUCAACCGAGGAACUGCGCCCAAAACUACUGUGCUUGAGGAAGAUAGAGGUAAGCGGAACCUACGGUGGAGCGGUGAAAUGCGUUGAUAUCGUAAGGAACACCUGUGGCGAAAGCGGCUUACUGGGUCUUUUCUGACGCUGAUGCACGAAAGCUAGGGGAGCAGACGGGAUUAGAUACCCCGGUAGUCCUAGCCGUAAACUAUGAGUACUGAAUUGAAGGGUCCUUCAUAGCCCUUCAGUUGUAGCGAAAGUGUUAAGUACUCCGCCUGGGGGAGUAUGGUCGCAAGGCUGAAACUCAAAGAAAUUGACGG